GUGCUUGCUUUGUCAGCAUAUAUACUAAAACUGAAACAAUACAAAAAAGAUUAUUGUAACCCCUGUGCAAGGAUAACAUACAAAUUCUUAAAAUGUUUCAUAUUUUU
Canis lupus familiaris (dog) is the source of this 107-nucleotide non-coding RNA. NCBI's taxonomy places the organism in Eukaryota, Metazoa, Chordata, Mammalia, Carnivora, Canidae. The record is from Rfam.